This 92-nucleotide transfer RNA is filed under the name Caulerpa lentillifera. RNAcentral's name for it is "tRNA-Ser". It matches the Rfam family "tRNA". Rfam says of the family: Transfer RNA (tRNA) molecules are approximately 80 nucleotides in length. Their secondary structure includes four short double-helical elements and three loops (D, anti-codon, and T loops). The record is from RNAcentral. Lineage: Eukaryota; Viridiplantae; Chlorophyta; Ulvophyceae; Bryopsidales; Caulerpaceae.
AGGAGUAAUGGCCGAGUGGUAAGGCGUCAGCUUGCUAAGUUGAUUUGUGUCGUCAGGCGACCGAUCGCAGGUUCAAACCCUGCUUACUCCUG